Molecule: unclassified non-coding RNA, 329 nt
Filed under: soil metagenome
Description: partial contains 5.8S ribosomal RNA, internal transcribed spacer 2, and large subunit ribosomal RNA
Rfam family: 5.8S ribosomal RNA (bases 1-120)
Source: RNAcentral
GAUGAAGAACGUAGCGAAAUGCGAUAAGUAAUGUGAAUUGCAGAAUUCAGUGAAUCAUCGAAUCUUUGAACGCACAUUGCGCCCCUUGGUAUUCCGAGGGGCAUGCCUGUUCGAGCGUCAUUAUAACCCCUCAAGCUCAGCUUGGUGUUGGGGCCUGCUGCACUGGCAGCCCUUAAAAUCAGUGGCGGCGCCGUCUGGCUCUAAGCGUAGUAAUUCUUCUCGCUAUGGAGUCCUGGUGGGUGCUUGCCAUCAACCCCCAAUUUUUCUAUGGUUGACCUCGGAUCAGGUAGGGAUACCCGCUGAACUUAAGCAUAUCAAUAAGCGGAGGA